AUUGAACGCUGGCGGCAGGCCUAACACAUGCAAGUCGAACGAGUCGCGGACGGGUGAGUAAUGUCUGGGAAACUGCCUGAUGGAUGGGGUUAACUACUGGAACCGGUAGCUAUUACCGCUUACCAUCGGAUGUUCCCCGAUGGGAUUAGCUAGUAGGUGGGGUAAAGGCUCACCUAGGCGACGAUCCCUAGCUGGUCUGCGAGGAUGACAAGCGACACGGGAACUGAGACACGGUGCAGACGCCGACGGGAGGCAGCGGGGGGGAAUAUUGCACAAUGGGCGCAAGCCGGAUGAAGCCAUGCCGCGUGUAUGAAGAAGGCGAUCGGGUUGUAAAGUACUUUCACCGGGGUGGCGGUAGCUGCAGAAGAAGCACCGGCUAACUCCGUGCCAGCAGCCGCGGUAAUAC
This 406-nucleotide ribosomal RNA is filed under the name uncultured bacterium. RNAcentral's name for it is "partial 16S ribosomal RNA". It matches the Rfam family "Bacterial small subunit ribosomal RNA", at positions 30 to 526 of the family's 1533-position model. The record is from RNAcentral.